CCUACGGGCGGCUGCAGUGAGGAAUAUUGGUCAAUGGGCGCAAGCCUGAACCAGCCAAGUCGCGUGCGGGAAGACGGUCCUAUGGAUUGUAAACCGCUUUUGUCGGGGAGCAAAAGCCUCCACGCGUGGCGUUCCGCGAGUACCCUAAGAAAAAGCAUCGGCUAACUCCGUGCCAGCAGCCGCGGUAAUACGGAGGUCGCGAGCGUUAUCCGGAUUUAUUGGGGUUAAAGGGUGCGCAGGCGGACGAUCAAGUCAGCGGUAAAAUUGAGAGGCUCAACCUCGUCGCGCAGUUGAAACUGGUUUUCUUGAGUGCACGAGAAGUAUGCGGAAUGCGUGGUGUAGCGGUGAAAUGCAUAGAUAUCACGCAGAACUCCGAUUGCGAAGGCAGCAUACCGGCGCUCAACUGACGCUCAUGCACGAAAGUGCGGGUAUCGAACAGGAUUAGAUACCCGUGUAGUC
This 459-nucleotide ribosomal RNA is filed under the name uncultured bacterium. RNAcentral describes it as "partial 16S ribosomal RNA". It matches the Rfam family "Bacterial small subunit ribosomal RNA", at positions 338 to 795 of the family's 1533-position model. The record is from RNAcentral.